UACGUAGGGGGCGAGCGUUGUCCGGAUUUAUUGGGCGUAGAGAGCUCGUAGGCGGCUUGGCAAGUCGGGUGUGAAACCUCCAGGCUCAACCUGGAGACGCCACUCGAUACUGCUAUGGCUAGAGUCCGGUAGGGGACCACGGAAUUCCUGGUGUAGCGGUGAAAUGCGCAGAUAUCAGGAGGAACACCGGUGGCGAAGGCGGUGGUCUGGGCCGGCACUGACGCUGAGGAGCGAAAGCGUGGGUAGCAAACAGG
This 254-nucleotide ribosomal RNA is filed under the name uncultured bacterium. RNAcentral describes it as "partial 16S ribosomal RNA". It matches the Rfam family "Bacterial small subunit ribosomal RNA", at positions 524 to 776 of the family's 1533-position model. The record is from RNAcentral.